UUGGGGCGUAGCCAAGCGGUAAGGCACCGGGUUUUGGUCCCGGCAUUUCCUAGGUUCGAAUCCUAGCGCCCCAGU
Molecule: transfer RNA, 75 nt
Filed under: Leptolyngbya boryana NIES-2135
Lineage: Bacteria; Bacillati; Cyanobacteriota; Cyanophyceae; Leptolyngbyales; Leptolyngbyaceae
Description: tRNA-Gln
Rfam family: tRNA
About the family: Transfer RNA (tRNA) molecules are approximately 80 nucleotides in length. Their secondary structure includes four short double-helical elements and three loops (D, anti-codon, and T loops).
Source: RNAcentral